This 740-nucleotide long non-coding RNA is filed under the name Mytilus galloprovincialis (Mediterranean mussel). Lineage: Eukaryota; Metazoa; Mollusca; Bivalvia; Mytilida; Mytilidae. The record is from RNAcentral.
AGUACAAGAUAAGAACAAACUAUAAAAAUCAGUUGAAAUAGGCUUAACCCAUCAGAUGGAUACAAAUAAAAAUACUACACAUAGUGGAGGUGGCCGCUUACUUGUAUAUAUCCCGACAACAAAAAGACACUAAGUACAGAUCUGAGAGUACUCACAGAACUUUACUGACAGACAUAUUUCUCUUGUCAAGGCCUUUUAUAGCCAACUCUACGGUAUGGGUUUUUUCUCAUUGUUGAAGGCCACAAGGUUGCUUACAUCCACAUUAUUUGAACUUUGAUGGAACGUUGUCUCCUUGGCAAUCAUACAGGUCUCUAAUCCUUAUUUUUACAAAGCAAUGUUCUAAUUCCAAUAAUAAUGGGAAAAAAGGGGGGGUGACCUCAUAAAAUCAAACUCAUAGUUACAUACAUGACAUAUAUAUUUCAAUUAAUUUUGAACAUUGUGAAACAACUUUUUUACUGGCACGUCUGUUAUUCAUCAAAUUAAAAUAGCUGCCAUUAGAACGUGUCUUAUGUGUCGGCCUUGGAGUACAUAAUAUUUAAAAUGGGUACAACAACCCCUUCCCCCUUUCCUCCAUAUCACGCCAGGAUUUCCAUGUAUGACUGAGAAAAGAAACCUGAAACCCUAAAAAUCAUUUUUAUUGAAAUAAAAGGUACUUUAAGAAGCUUAUUUAUUUUGAAGUAUACAGUAUACCUAAUUUGCAAUUGAAGUUUAUGUAACAAAAUUUGACAGACAUGUCUGUG